This 3661-nucleotide unclassified non-coding RNA is filed under the name Portunus trituberculatus (swimming crab). RNAcentral's name for it is "proline-rich protein 36-like, transcript variant X1". Lineage: Eukaryota; Metazoa; Arthropoda; Malacostraca; Decapoda; Portunidae. The record is from RNAcentral.
UAGCGAGCGAGAGGAGUGAACGCACGCUGAACGGCGGAACGCGGAACGGAACACAACACGGAGGAGAUGUUUUGAGGCGAAGAGAGACACACCAACUUUUGAAUUAACCUCGAAAACCACACGAACUACAUCACCACGAGCGACCAGACGACCAGGGACGAGUGAGGAGAGGACGACCACCACCUGCACACCCUGACGAGGCUCAAGAUGGCGGGAGGAAGUGGCCAGGCUUGGGUGAAAUACGGGUGGUGAGAGAAUUUAGAUCGCCUGGAGUGAAUGGCGAGGAAUUCUUUAAUGAUGGUGUAGCGGGGCCGCCAUGAAGAACAAGACUGAGGUAUCGAGGACAGAUGUGUGCGUCAGAGUGGUCAAGGGCGCGCUGGAGGCCGUCACGGGGGUCAAUGACAAGAUACCCGCCUCUCCCUCCCCGCUCUCUCCCUCCACGCCUCUCCCUUCGCCUCUCUCUCCCUCCACCCCUGCAAAGAUUAAAUGCGAGAGCCCCACUGUGUUCCUCGGCGCCCACACCCCGCCCCCCACCGGCCCGGGCGCGGAGGUGCGGGGCAAGCCUGGCACCCCCAUAGCCAGUGCCAGCUCCAAGGCUGCCGCCAGACCCAACAGUGCCAAUAGUGCCGCCGAGGACAAGGCAGCAGGCGGCGCUGGUGGUGGUAGACUUACCUUCUUCAAGGAGGGCAAGUUCCUGUUGGAGUUGUCUCACCGCACAGAGAUGGGUGCACCGGCGGGCUGGGUGCCGGUGAAGAGCAAGACAUACUGGCCGCCACCUUCCUCCACCACCACCACCACCACCCAGCACCCCCUGCGCCAUGACACACCCACCUCGCAGUCCGUGUCAGAUGACUGUUCCUCCCUCAACUCGUCGCCGUGGACCAGCGAUCACAUCAGGAAGCAGCCAUUGCCCCGCCCUGCCCGAGGCCCCGCUGCCCCUGCCCAGGCUGCCACCUUCUGGUUUCACUGCCCCCCUGAGGCCCGGGCACAGCGGCGGAGACUCCCCGUGGGGCGGCGGCGGCGGAACCCUCUGCUGCAGGCCGCCCCGGGUGAGAAGGUGGCAGAGAAGACAGCCAAAGUGGAGAGCAAGGUGGAUGGUGAGCGGAAGGUGAAGGUGGAGGGGGAGGGAGCGGUGGGCAAGGGGGCAGCCCGGCUGGAGAAGCUGGUGCGGCUGCUGUGGGUGGGGCUGCGGGUGGAGGCCGAUGUGAGUCUCCACAACGCGCUGGAACAGCGGGGCGGAGGUGGCGGGGGCGGCGGCGAGGCCCUGGAUCCCACCUUUGUGUCGCCCCGCAAGCGCUACCUCCGCCAGAUGGAGACAGACCAGGAUGUGCCCACUGCCCUGCACCGCAAGAAGCUCCAUGCGGCGGGGCUGCCCCAGGCCCCGGGGGAUAGGCCGGCAGGCAUGGCACAAAUCCCCACCACCUCAUCGUCCUCCUCCUCUGCCUCCCCGUACCCCUCCUCCCUGUCCUCGCCAGGCCCUGCCUCGCACCGCGGCGGGGCGAGUGUGCUGGCCCCAUCUGUGUACAGCAUUGACUCUAUCCUCAACCACGAGGGGGCGGGAGGUGGGGCAGGGGUUGGGAUUGGCACCGCCACUAGUCGCCAGGGUGACUCCUUCCUCCGCACGCUGCUCAAGCCAGAGGUGAAGGCUGCCCCGCCCCGGGCCAGGGAGCGGCCCCCAGAUCCUCCCCACCCUCCCUCAGUGAAAGCAGAGCGGGACCAGUCGGGGCCGGACCGGGGUGACGCCCUGCUGGAAAUGAACCGCCGUCCCUCGCCAGAGCGGUACGACCUGUCCCGGUAUGGCCCAGUAGCUGGCCUGUAUCCCCUGGGGCCCUACAUGGACCCCCGCUACAUGCUGAUGCACUCCCUGGCACCCGGUCUGGUGGGGCCUGCCGCCGCUGCUGCUGCCGCACAGUCUUCAGACAUGGCCCAGGCUCUGGCUGCUGCCACGGCCGCUGCUGCUGCUGCUGCCAGCCUGGGCACCUACCCCAUUGGCCCCCUGCCACCGCCGCUGCCUGGGGCACAGUACUACUAUCCCCCCACCUCCGUGGCUGCCCAGCUGCUGCGCCAGCCCUCCCUGGCCUCCCGCUGCUCCCCCCAUCCCCCGGCCUCCCCUAGCCCCAAGACACACCAGUACCCUCCCCCGACCCCUGCCUCACCCCAUCUUAGCCGGGGUGCCAGUCCUAGGGGCCGUGCCUCUCCCUGGCAGCCUCCCCCUCCCCCUGCCCACCCACUAUCCCCUCAUCCCUCCCUGGCCUCCCCCCUCCCAUCACCACCACCACAAGAUGCACCGCUCAACUUGUCCAAACCAAGGAACCACUUAGGGAAGUAGUGGGUGUGGCGGAAGCUGCGGCCCACACCAGGACGGGAGCUGAGGGGCCACACAGGAAAGCUGGAGCGAAGCCAAGGAAGAGAGAAGAGGACAGCGAGCAGGUGUGGUGUGGUAUGGUGUGGUGCCUGGAGGCCCCUGGGGUGCCGCACCGUCACCUCCCUGGGGUAGCGCAAGACGGACUGGCAGCAGCUCUCGCCCGUCACCGCCAGUCGUACCUCACAGCGUACGUCAGCUGGCCUGGGAAACCUGGAGGAGAACUCACAAUACACACAUCAUCAUCUUCCCUUCCUUGCUCUCGGCCAAUCAACCAGAGACUCACCCUGACCUCACUGCAUUGCCUCAGCUUGUCAGGCACCAGAUGGGUAUGGCAGUGUGCUACAGAGACAAAGAGAGCCUAUAUGUGUGUGUGUGUUUGUGUGUGUUGGAGGCCACGGAAAGCUUAUGUGUAUGAUAGAGAUGGGACUUAGGUGUGUGUGUGUGUGUGGGGGGAGGAAGAGGCCAGAAAAUGCAUUUGUGUAUGAGAGAAUGGGAGCUUGUGUGUGUGUGUGUGUUUGAGGGGCAGAAGAGUGUGUGCGUGUGCAUUUGUGUGUCAGAUGGAAAGAGAUACAUUUUUUGUGGAUGUGUGUGACAGAUGGGUGAAAGCUUGUCUGUGUGUGUGUGUGUGUGUCAUUUUCAAGUCAGGUUCAAGGGCUUUGGCGACAAACUUCAUUCUGAGACGCAACGCUUGAGUCACAUUUGGAAGCUCUUGGCACAGCAGGGGUUGGUGGAGAGAGUGUGUCUACCUCAGGCGCUCACGUGAUGGAGAUCUUGAGUGGUGGAGUGUUUAUCAAGGAUCCCUGUGUGUGUUUGGAGGGCCCUGUGUUUGUGGGGAGGGCAAUUUUGUGUGUUUGGAGGCCCACUGUGUAUAUUUGUAAGGCUCUGUGUAUGUAAGGAGGCAUUUGUGUGUGUUUGAAGGGUCAUUCUGUGUGUUUGUAGGUUCCUGUGUUUGUGUGGAAGGCCCUUUGUGUGUUUGGAGGGUCGUGUGUGCAUGUUUGGAGGGCCUUUGUGUGUGUGUGAGUAGCUGCAUUGUGUUUGUAUGGCCUCUGUGUGUGGGUGUGGGUGUGUGGGUGUAUGUGUGUGUGUGUGUGUGUGUGUGUGCUGUUGCCUUGUCCCAGUUUCUCUUGCAAGGUUCAGAAGUAUUGGGGUUGCUACAGAAAAGAUCAUUGUAAAGUUAUCAUUUUCUCUCCAACUUGCCUUUCUUUCUCUCGUCCUCUUCUUUCUCAUAUUUGAAACACACAUACAUAGCUUGCCUUGAUCUUCCUUUCCUUCACCUUAUAUUUAAAACACACACAC